AAGGAAUAUAAGAUCUUAUGAUGGCAGUUAUGGAGGUGAUAAUGUUGGAAGGAACGUAAGAUCUUAUGAUGGCAGUUAUGGAGGCGAUAAUGUUGACAGGAAUGUAAGAUCUGAUCAUGGCGGUUAUGGAGGUAAUAAUGUUGACAGGAAUGUAAGAUCUUAUGAUGGCAGUUAUGGAGGUGAUAAUGCUGAAAGGAAUGUAAGAUCUGAUGAUGGCAAUUAUGGAGGUGAUAAUGUUGACAGGAAUGUAAGAUC
This is a long non-coding RNA of Octopus bimaculoides (California two-spot octopus), 255 nucleotides long. NCBI's taxonomy places the organism in Eukaryota, Metazoa, Mollusca, Cephalopoda, Octopoda, Octopodidae. The record is from RefSeq and is a predicted model, not a curated record.